RNAcentral lists this long non-coding RNA (1107 nucleotides) under Salmo trutta (river trout). Its description in RNAcentral is "lncRNA (ENSSTUG00000040454.1)". Lineage: Eukaryota; Metazoa; Chordata; Actinopteri; Salmoniformes; Salmonidae. The record is from RNAcentral.
UGGAACUUCUGAAACGUACGUUUUUAAUCAUAAAUUAUAUUUUUCACUCUUCAAUGAUGAAGCUAAUAUCUACCCAGCAAAGCUCUUUGGAUCUAGUACCCACAUGAGAGAAGGAAGGACAGUCGAUGUGAAGUGCAGCACUACAAGCACCAGAAAACCGUUGAGCAAGGUCUAUGUUUACCUUUGCAAGAAUGGAAGUGGAAUGAGAGUAAGAGAGCUGGAGAAAGGUGAAGAUGACACCAUUUUCACCAUCAAGGAUGUAAAAUGAGAGGACACAGCCAUAUACAGCUGUGUGUACAGCACACCAUAUUCAAACUAAAACUCAGUCAAGUGAACUCAACAAGUGUCAAUCUAGCCAUCAUUCAGGUCUACAAGGAGGGAGAAGGUAGGACCUACUUUGUGUUGUAUAUGGAUGGAUAAUCAAGUGUUUAUACUGACUAUAUGGCAACUUCUGUGUAAAUACGUAUGUCUCUCUGUUCUGUAUUUCAGAAGAGGUUCAUCAAGAGGUCCAUAAAGAGGCUACACAUGAUGUGAGACUGGUCAAUGUAAUCCGACUGAUAAAUUCAGUUGUUGUGGUUAUACUUCUUUUGACUGUAUUAUAUGUUAGUUACUACUGUCCAAACAUAUAAUGGUCUGUUUCCUGGAUGACAUACAGUACAGUCAUAACAACAACAGAAUAGCAAUACUAUUUUCUUGAUAAUUCUUACAUGUAAUCUACAGUAAGUCUUUAGGUUCAUACCACAAAUACACACGGUAGAGAGAGUUACCUAACGUUUCAACAACACUUUAACACCAUGAUCAUGUUCAUCUUUAUCCUGUGUUCCUUGUCAAAAGAGACCAUAGCACAAACAAAAGUAAAGGACAUUUUUCCAGCAACGAUCUAUGGGACAGAAACAAGAAUAAUGGAGGACAGUGACCUAGUAGUAAAAUGUAGUACAUUUGGGCGCAAGGAUGAAUCAGAAGUGGUACAUGUGUACUUGUGUUUGGAGCGGGUUGCAGUGUAUGUGGACAAAUGUGAAACAUAUGAUACCCUUUUCACCAUGAAAAGUGUAACUAGCCAACAGACUGGCAAUUACAGCUGUGUGUUCUCUAAAACCCAAUAUCCAC